Molecule: ribosomal RNA, 286 nt
Filed under: uncultured Spirotrichea
Lineage: Eukaryota; Ciliophora; Spirotrichea
Description: partial small subunit ribosomal RNA
Rfam family: Eukaryotic small subunit ribosomal RNA
Source: RNAcentral
GGCUUGUAUUUAUUAGAUAACAGACCAAUAUAGUGGUGACUCAUAGUAACUGNNCGAAUCGCACGGGCUUGCCCGCGAUAAAUCAUUCAAGUUUCUGCCCCAUCAGCUGUAGAUGGUAGUGUAUUGGACUACCAUGGCUUUCACGGGUAACGGAGGAUUAUGGUUCGAUUCCGGAGAGGGAGCCUGAGAAACGGCUACCACAUCUAAGGAAGGCAGCAGGCGCGUAAAUUACCCAAUACUGAUUCAGUGAGGUAGUGACAAGAAAUAACGGGCCGGGACAANAAAA